GUCAAGAUGGUUGAGUAGUCUAAGGUGCUAGAUUCAAGUUUUGAUCUUUGUGAGAGGGCGUGGGUUCAAAUCCCACUUCUGACA
This 84-nucleotide transfer RNA is filed under the name Ipomoea nil (Japanese morning glory). It matches the Rfam family "tRNA". From Rfam's summary of the family: Transfer RNA (tRNA) molecules are approximately 80 nucleotides in length. Their secondary structure includes four short double-helical elements and three loops (D, anti-codon, and T loops). The record is from Rfam by way of RNAcentral. Lineage: Eukaryota; Viridiplantae; Streptophyta; Magnoliopsida; Solanales; Convolvulaceae.